Glycine max (soybean) is the source of this 93-nucleotide non-coding RNA. NCBI's taxonomy places the organism in Eukaryota, Viridiplantae, Streptophyta, Magnoliopsida, Fabales, Fabaceae. The record is from Rfam.
GUUCUGCAGUGAUAAUUUCAGAAAUAAAUUCACAUGUCAGACUUUGGAGAUUUUCAAAUCAACGAGAACGAAAAUUCUGUUAUUUAGCAGAAU